Molecule: ribosomal RNA, 253 nt
Filed under: uncultured bacterium
Lineage: Bacteria
Description: partial 16S ribosomal RNA
Rfam family: Bacterial small subunit ribosomal RNA
Source: RNAcentral
CACGUAGGGCGCAAGCGUUGUCCGGAAUUAUUGGGCGUAAAGAGCUCGUAGGCGGUCUGUUGCGUCCGCUGUGAAAACUCGGGGCUUAACCCCGAGCCUGCAGUGGAUACGGGCAGACUAGAGGUAGGUAGGGGAGAAUGGAAUUCCCGGUGUAGCGGUGAAAUGCGCAGAUAUCGGGAGGAACACCAACGGCGAAAGCACUCUGCUGGGCCGACACUGACACUGAGAGACGAAAGCUAGGGGAGCGAAUGGG